This 732-nucleotide long non-coding RNA is filed under the name Taeniopygia guttata (zebra finch). RNAcentral describes it as "lncRNA (ENSTGUG00000022990.1)". Lineage: Eukaryota; Metazoa; Chordata; Aves; Passeriformes; Estrildidae. The record is from RNAcentral.
CCUCUGCUCAAGAAUCCCCCAUGGGGACACUCUGCUCUCUCCUCCAUGGGCACCACACUGCAAAACUCCCGAGGAAAAUCUUCCCCCGUGGGCCCUGCGGCUCCUUGGCUGAGGUCCAGAGCAAACAGCCAAGGCAGUGGCCUGAAAUGUUUUCCCAGCUGGCCCACACUUCUCUGCCGGAUGCACAUUGUCCCUGGGGAAAGAGAGGUGCAGAACCCUUCACUAAUGGCCUGGAAUGUCCAACAGCAAUCACAGCCAUGGACAGCUCUCGGGAACCACUGCACCAUGGAUUUUCCAUCCUGGAAGGCCAAGAUUGAGAGUGUCCUGCUGGUGCCUCAGGGCCUGGCUGAACAGGGCUUGUCAGAGAUGCUGGCAGGGCACCAACAGCCCUGCUCCUCACAGGGCACCUCUGUUACCCCAGUCAGCUCCGAGGGGCUGCCUGGGGACAGGUGCCCACGUCCCCAUGGCCCCUGGCACGGGCCCAUCCUGCUCAGGGCCAGCGCUGGCCUUGGCUCAGGGCCAGGGCCAUGGCCCAGGUGCUCUGGGAGGGCUCAGGGGCUGCAGCCUCACCCAGCGUUGCCCAGAGCGAGAGGAAGGUGAAGGUGGCUGUGCUCAGCGUGGCCCUGCUCUUCUCCAUCCUGCUGUGCUCCCCGGCUCAGGCCCAGGUGAGGCACCCGCCAAACGCUGUCCCCACACCCUGCCCUUUCUGGCCUCCCACCCCACCCUUUUGCU